Long non-coding RNA from Lethenteron reissneri (Far Eastern brook lamprey), 419 nucleotides. RefSeq lists it as uncharacterized. The record is from RefSeq and is a predicted model, not a curated record. NCBI's taxonomy places the organism in Eukaryota, Metazoa, Chordata, Hyperoartia, Petromyzontiformes, Petromyzontidae.
GUUCUGCAGAUGUAGAUGCCACUGGUUCUUCAUGUUCUGCAGAUGUAGAUGCCACUGGUUUUUUACGUUCUGCAGAUGUAGAUGCCACUGGUUCUUCACGUUCUGUAGAUGCCACUGGUUCUUCACGUUCUGCAGAUGUAGAUGCCACUGGUUCUUCACGUUCUGUAGAUGCCACUGGUUCUUCACGUUCUGUAGAUGUAGAUGCCACUGGUUCUUCACGUUCUGCAGAUGUAGAUGCCACUGGUUCUUCACGUUCUGCAGAUGUAGAUGCCACUGGUUCUUCACGUUCUGUAGAUGUAGAUGCCACUGGUUCUUCAUGUUCUGCAGAUGUAGAUGCCACUGGUUCUUCACGUUCUGUAGAUGUAGAUGCCACUGGUUCUUCAUGUUCUGCAGAUGUAGAUGCCACUGGUUCUUCACGU